This 74-nucleotide transfer RNA is filed under the name Pantoea wallisii. It matches the Rfam family "tRNA". Rfam says of the family: Transfer RNA (tRNA) molecules are approximately 80 nucleotides in length. Their secondary structure includes four short double-helical elements and three loops (D, anti-codon, and T loops). Further hydrogen bonds mediate the characteristic L-shaped molecular structure. tRNAs have two regions of fundamental functional importance: the anti-codon, which is responsible for specific mRNA codon recognition, and the 3' end, to which the tRNAs corresponding amino acid is attached (by aminoacyl-tRNA synthetases). tRNAs cope with the degeneracy of the genetic code in two manners: having more than one tRNA (with a specific anti-codon) for a particular amino acid; and 'wobble' base-pairing, i.e. permitting non-standard base-pairing at the 3rd anti-codon position. RNAcentral also lists the same sequence under 1 other name. The record is from RNAcentral. Lineage: Bacteria; Pseudomonadati; Pseudomonadota; Gammaproteobacteria; Enterobacterales; Erwiniaceae.
GGGGUGGAGCAGCCUGGUAGCUCGUCGGGCUCAUAACCCGAAGGUCGUCGGUUCGAAUCCGGCCCCCGCAACCA